AGAGUUUGAUCAUGGCUCAGGAUGAACGCUAGCGGCAGGCCUAAUACAUGCAAGUCGAGGGGCAGCACAGGUAGCAAUACUGGGUGGCGACCGGCAAACGGGUGCGGAACACGUACGCAACCUUCCUUCAAAAGUGGGAUAGCCCAGGGAAACUUGGAUUAAUACCACGUAAGAUAGUAGAGUGGCAUCACUCAGCUAUU
Molecule: ribosomal RNA, 200 nt
Filed under: uncultured bacterium
Lineage: Bacteria
Description: partial 16S ribosomal RNA
Rfam family: Bacterial small subunit ribosomal RNA
Source: RNAcentral